GGACUGCAUUUGAAACUGGUCUGCUAGAGUACCGGAGAGGUAAGCGGAAUUCCUAGUGUAGCGGUGAAAUGCGUAGAUAUUAGGAGGAACACCAGUGGCGAAGGCGGCUUACUGGACGGUAACUGACGUUGAGGCUCGAAAGCGUGGGGAGCAAA
RNAcentral lists this ribosomal RNA (155 nucleotides) under uncultured bacterium. RNAcentral describes it as "partial 16S ribosomal RNA". It matches the Rfam family "Bacterial small subunit ribosomal RNA", at positions 618 to 772 of the family's 1533-position model. The record is from RNAcentral.